RNAcentral lists this ribosomal RNA (559 nucleotides) under uncultured Nitrosopumilales archaeon. RNAcentral describes it as "bacterial SSU rRNA". It matches the Rfam family "Archaeal small subunit ribosomal RNA", at positions 319 to 879 of the family's 1478-position model. Lineage: Archaea; Thermoproteati; Nitrososphaerota; Nitrososphaeria; Nitrosopumilales. The record is from RNAcentral.
GGCCUUACGGGGUGCAGCAGGCGAGAAAACUUUGCAAUGUGCGAAAGCACGACAAGGUUAAUCCGAGUGGUUUCUGCUAAAGGAACCUUUUGUUAGUCGUAGAAUCACUGAUGAAUAAGGGGUGGGCAAGUUCUGGUGUCAGCCGCCGCGGUAAAACCAGCACCUCAAGUGGUCAGGAUGAUUAUUGGGCCUAAAGCAUCCGUAGCCGGCUCUGUAAGUUUUCGGUUAAAUCUGUACGCUCAACGUACAGGCUGCCGGGAAUACUGCAGCGCUAGGGAGUGGGAGAGGUAGACGGUACUCGGUAGGAAGGGGUAAAAUCCUUUGAUCUAUUGAUGACCACCUGUGGCGAAGGCGGUCUACCAGAACACGUCCGACGGUGAGGGAUGAAAGCUGGGGGAGCAAACCGGAUUAGAUACCCGGGUAGUCCCAGCUGUAAACUAUGCAAACUCAAUGAUGCAUUGGCUUGUGGCCAGUGCAGUGUUGCAGGGAAGCCGUUAAGUUUGCCGCCUGGGAAGUACGUACGCAAGUAUGAAACUUAAAGGAAUUGGCGGGGGAGCAC